This 82-nucleotide transfer RNA is filed under the name Labilibaculum antarcticum. RNAcentral describes it as "tRNA-Leu". It matches the Rfam family "tRNA". Rfam says of the family: Transfer RNA (tRNA) molecules are approximately 80 nucleotides in length. Their secondary structure includes four short double-helical elements and three loops (D, anti-codon, and T loops). The record is from RNAcentral. Lineage: Bacteria; Pseudomonadati; Bacteroidota; Bacteroidia; Marinilabiliales; Marinifilaceae.
GCCCAGGUGGCGGAAUUGGUAGACGCGCUGGUCUCAAACACCAGUGGGGCAACCCGUGCCGGUUCGAUCCCGGCUCUGGGUA